CAAUGAGAAGCUGGCGGUGGCAUCGAUAACUGUAGGCGGCACGUUGGACGAUUGUUGUUGAGCUGCCGAGGCUUGAGUGCGAAUGGCCUCUUAUCUAUUGUACCAUUCAAUAAGAUCACAGCUAAUCCGCCACCUGCUGAGAAGAUCAUCGAAGUCUCUCUUCCACCCACCUGAGAUAUUUAUCAGGAGCACUGCAUAUGCAGGGCCCUUAGCAUUGUCAAGGAUCCCUCCUGUCCAUCUCUCAAUUUGACCCUCUACCAUCAGGCACGAGGAUCUACUGGGAAAGUCUCAAAGAUUGACCAGUCGAUCGCAAUCGACGGGUUGGCAACCACUAAUUUAUAGCAUCAGGUGUAUGAUCAAGGUUUGAUUCCUGCCACUGUUUAGAAGAAUUUUGCAUAUUCUCUCCAUGACUGCUUGAGUUUCUUUCUGUUUUUCCUGUUUCCUCCCACAUUCCAAAGAUGUAUAGUUAGGGUUAGUGAGUUGUGGACAUGCAAUGUUGGCUCUGGAAGCAUGAUGACACUUGCAGGCUACUCAGUGCAAUAAUCACUGAUUUGAUUUCCUUGCUACUGUGUACAGUAAAGUAGAUAGUUCACAUCCAUGGUUAAAUUUAGUGGAGAUGAACUUUGGACAACAUAUCUGGACUAUUGCUAAUACCACCUUUUCUACCUCUGUAAUGUUGCCUGACACUCAACUGCCUUGGUUCAUUUGCUGCUGUAACUCUUAUCCUUUGUUACCCCAGGACUUAGCUGCAAUGACUGUGUCCUAAAAUGCCUACUUUCUUCUAUUGCCUGGAAUCUUGAGACAACCUAAAACUCAGCUUCCCACAUCCCAACUUGACCAACCACUGUUCACUCAUUGCCACUGAUUCUUUCUGACUUACAUUGACUAUUGUUAAAUGAUAUGCUGAUUUUAAAGUUCUCACCUUGUAUUCCUUUAUAAAAUUCUUCCAUGGUCUUCCACCUUUGAACUCCUGCAUUGCUGCAGAUGGAGACCAAGUCAUUGGGUACAUUUAAACCCAAGAAAGAAAUGUUCUUGAUUAGUAAGGGUAUCAAAGGUUAUGGGGAGAAAGCAGGAGAAUAGAGUUGAAAAGGAUAAUAAAUAAGCUAUGAUCGAAUGGCGGAGCAGAUUCAACAGGCCAAAUGGCCUAAUUCAGCUUCUAUGUCUUAUGUUCUUAUGCAAAUGAAACAUUUCACUCCAUGUUUCAAUGUACAUGUAAUACAUGAAGCUAACCAGCAUGAAGUUACCAACAAGUUACAAGUUACAAAAGUGAUCAAUAUGUUGGCCUUUAGUGCAAGAGGAUUUGAAUAUAAAGAGUGCUUCUUUCUCCUCAUUCCCUAUUCCUGAUUAUCAUCCUAACCCUCACAGUGGAAGAAUGGUUUUGUUUGUGCUUGCACGAGUAAGAGCUAUUAUGUCAUGAAUAACUAUAUGGUAUCUAAUCAGGGAUCCCAAUGACAGUUGCCCUUCAUCAUGAAUUUCCAUGUAUUGGAAAGUUUCCAGACAAUUGGGUCUUCUUGAUCUAUAUGGAUCAGUACAGCACACCAUUGUGUAUUUAUCAGCAUUGAGGGGAUAGCACACAAAUUACAAUAUCCCAUUGCA
Molecule: long non-coding RNA, 1596 nt
Organism: Hypanus sabinus (Atlantic stingray)
Lineage: Eukaryota; Metazoa; Chordata; Chondrichthyes; Myliobatiformes; Dasyatidae
Exons: 3
Source: RefSeq, a predicted model, not a curated record